This 253-nucleotide ribosomal RNA is filed under the name uncultured bacterium. RNAcentral describes it as "partial 16S ribosomal RNA". It matches the Rfam family "Bacterial small subunit ribosomal RNA", at positions 524 to 776 of the family's 1533-position model. The record is from RNAcentral.
UACGUAGGGUGCAAGCGUUGUCCGGAAUUAUUGGGCGUAAAGAGCUCGUAGGCGGUUUGUUGCGUCGGCUGUGAAAUCCCGAGGCUCAACCUCGGGUCUGCAGUCGAUACGAGCAAACUAGAGUGUUGCAGGGGAGACUGGAAUUCCUGGUGUAGCGGUGGAAUGCGCAGAUAUCAGGAGGAACACCGGUGGCGAAGGCGGGUCUCUGGGCUGUAACUGACGCUGAGGAGCGAAAGCGUGGGUAGCGAACAGG